RNAcentral lists this ribosomal RNA (329 nucleotides) under uncultured eukaryote. RNAcentral's name for it is "partial 18S ribosomal RNA". It matches the Rfam family "Eukaryotic small subunit ribosomal RNA", at positions 1470 to 1796 of the family's 1831-position model. The record is from RNAcentral.
CCCUUAGAUGUUCGGGGCCGCACGCGCGCUACACUGAAGGAAUCAGCGUGUGUUUACCCUGGUCCGGAAGGAUCGGGUAACCCGUUGAACCUCCUUCGUGCUAGGGAUUGGGGCUUGUAAUUCUUCCCCAUGAACGAGGAAUUCCCAGUAAGCGCGAGUCAUAAGCUCGCGUUGAUUACGUCCCUGCCCUUUGUACACACCGCCCGUCGCUACUACCGAUUGAAUGGUCCGGUGAAAUCUUCGGACUCUGUGUUUAUUGAUUAGUUUCAAUUUACUACUGGAGAAAGUUGAGUAAACCUUAUCACUUAGAGGAAGGAGAAGUCGUAACA